This 497-nucleotide ribosomal RNA is filed under the name uncultured bacterium. RNAcentral's name for it is "partial 16S ribosomal RNA". It matches the Rfam family "Bacterial small subunit ribosomal RNA", at positions 28 to 507 of the family's 1533-position model. The record is from RNAcentral.
GAUGAACGCUGGCGGCGUGCCUAAUACAUGCAAGUCGAGCGAACAGACGAGGAGCUUGCUCCUCUGACGUUAGCGGCGGGCGGGUGAGUAACACGUGGAUAACCUACCUAUAAGACUGGGAUAACUUCGGGAAACCGGAGCUAAUACCGGAUAAUAUAUUGAACCGCAUGGUUCAAUAGUGAAAGACGGUUUUGCUGUCACUUAUAGAUGGAUCCGCGCCGCAUUAGCUAGUUGGUAAGGUAACGGCUUACCAAGGCAACGAUGCGUAGCCGACCUGAGAGGGUGAUCGGCCACACUGGAACUGAGACACGGUCCAGACUCCUACGGGAGGCAGCAGUAGGGAAUCUUCCGCAAUGGGCGAAAGCCUGACGGAGCAACGCCGCGUGAGUGAUGAAGGUCUUCGGAUCGUAAAACUCUGUUAUUAGGGAAGAACAAAUGUGUAAGUAACUAUGCACGUCUUGACGGUACCUAAUCAGAAGGCCACGGCUAACUACGUG